AGUGAACGCUGGCGGCGUGCUUAACGCAUGCAAGUCGAACGAGAACGGAUUAUAGCUUGCUAUAAUUGUCAGCGAAGUGGCGCACGGGUGAGUAAUGUAUAGGUAAUAUGCCUCUUACUAAGGGAUAACAAAUGGAAAAGUUUGCUAAUACCCUAUACUCCUUAUUAACGUAAGUUAAGAAGGGAAAGAUUUAUUGGUAAGAGAUUAGCCUGUAUUGUAUCAGUUAGUUGGUGGGGUAAUGGCUUACCAAGACUAUGACACAUAACUGGUUUGAGAGGAUGAUCAGUCACACUGGAACUGAGACACGGUCCAGACUCCUACGGGAGGCAGCAGUAGGGAAUAUUGCACAAUGGACGAAAGUCUGAUGCAGCAACGCCGCGUGGAGGAUGACACAUUUCGGUGCGUAAACUCCUUUUAUAUGGGAAGAUAAUGACGGUAUUAUAUGAAUAAGCACCGGCUAACUCCGUGCCAGCAGCCGCCGUAA
This 484-nucleotide ribosomal RNA is filed under the name uncultured bacterium. RNAcentral describes it as "partial 16S ribosomal RNA". It matches the Rfam family "Bacterial small subunit ribosomal RNA", at positions 29 to 523 of the family's 1533-position model. The record is from RNAcentral.